AACGGCCAUACCAUGCUGAAUAUACCGGUUCUCGUUAGAUCACCGAAGUCAAGCAUCAUUGGGCGCGGUCAGAACUUGGGUGGGUGACCACCUGGGAACACCGCGUGCCGUU
Molecule: ribosomal RNA, 112 nt
Filed under: Caerostris extrusa
Lineage: Eukaryota; Metazoa; Arthropoda; Arachnida; Araneae; Araneidae
Source: RNAcentral